Capsicum annuum is the source of this 1196-nucleotide long non-coding RNA. RefSeq lists it as uncharacterized. The record is from RefSeq and is a predicted model, not a curated record. Lineage: Eukaryota; Viridiplantae; Streptophyta; Magnoliopsida; Solanales; Solanaceae. The transcript has 2 exons.
CAAAUAAAUCACCUCAGCUCAAUUUAACAAUCCAUCAUAACAGCCGGCCCAACCCCAAUAGCCCAAAUAAAAAAUACUUGAGCCCAACUUUUUUACCCCUUUUACACAAAACACGACACAGACAGUACAGCAUACAUACAGUGCAUACACACAGAAAUGACGAGUACAACACCAACAACAUCGACCUCAGCAACACCACGAACAAUGGCGUACAAACCCAGCCGACCAACGUUAACGACAAACCGACCCGCCAACGACCCUAAACCAAACCCGUGACCGGCAACCCGCAAUCAACACGUUCUUUUUCUUUUCGUCACGCGCCUUACGCGUACUUGUAUGGCAAGAGCCUCGUAUCUUCUAGAAACGGUAUAGGUGGCCAGCAAAUCAUUCAAAAAUUCGUUGUAUUGAAGAAUAAUAGUACGAAGUCGCACAUGAUUGGAGAAUUUUCAUUGGUUCGUGAAGGGAAUUCAUCCCUCAAUACUAAUUGGUUGGCCAAUUUUUGGAUUUUCAUCAAGAAAAUUUCAAAAUUCAUACAAGUUGUUGGUAGAAAACACUAUCUUCAGCACGAAUUUAAAUUUCCCCUACCAAAAAAUUUCGAGAUUACCCCCUCGUUUCUUCACUUCCACAUCGGCUAAUUUGAAAGGGAACCCCCAUUUAUUUUUCAAUAUAAAGCUCAUCAUUGAGCUGAAAAUCUAAAAUCUUGAAGGAUGGGGAAAAUACCUUUUGAGUAAAAACAGUCUUGUUUCAUGGUAAAGAGUUUUUUUCAGCACGUUCGUUGACUGAUUGUGGUUUCCGAGUUGACGACGACGUUAUUUUUUGGUGGUUGCGAUUUCGAUGAAAGCCCGAUUCCGAUUUUACUGCUCCAAAAUAGGUAACAUUCUGUUCCAUUUAGUUCUGAUUAUUUCUGCUUCGUCUCGAUAUUCUGCAGUUAUAUUUCGAUGACGUUGUUUGCUGAGAGUAGCUGUAGAUGACCUUGAAGGCCCUAGGUUCGUUUGUUAAAAGUGACUGAUUUCAAAGAACCGAUAGGUCUGAGGUGUUAGUUAUUGCGUUUUCUCUUAUUGUUUUGGUGUUCCGUCAAUGAUUUAGCUUCUUGUCUUGUUUAAGAUUCAAAUGUUAUUCUAAGUAGUUACUCCCGAUAAAUAUUCUGUAUUUAAUCUUUAAUUGAUGCUAUAAUAUAUUGAAUCUGUCAUCCCUCC